UACGUAGGGUGCAAGCGUUAAUCGGAAUUACUGGGCGUAAAGGGUGCGCAGGCGGCUCGGAAAGAAAGAUGUGAAAUCCCAGGGCUCAACCUUGGAACUGCAUUUUUAACUACCGGGCUAGAGUGUGUCAGAGGGAGGUGGAAUUCCGCGUGUAGCAGUGAAAUGCGUAGAUAUGCGGAGGAACACCGAUGGCGAAGGCAGCCUCCUGGGAUAACACUGACGCUCAGGCACGAAAGCGUGGGGAGCAAACAGGAUUAGAUACCCU
This 265-nucleotide ribosomal RNA is filed under the name uncultured prokaryote. RNAcentral describes it as "partial 16S ribosomal RNA". It matches the Rfam family "Bacterial small subunit ribosomal RNA", at positions 524 to 788 of the family's 1533-position model. The record is from RNAcentral.